GAAGUGCCUUAGCUCAGUGGUAGAUCAUCAGCUUUGCAUGCAGAAGGUCCUAGGUUCAAUCCUGGGCAUUUCU
Non-coding RNA from Podarcis lilfordi (Lilford's wall lizard), 73 nucleotides. Lineage: Eukaryota; Metazoa; Chordata; Lepidosauria; Squamata; Lacertidae. The record is from the annotation of a GenBank genome assembly.